GACGAACGCUGGCGGCGUGCUUAACACAUGCAAGUCGAGCGGUAAGGCCCUUUCGGGGGUACGACGAGCGGCGAACGGGUGAGUAACACGUGGGUGACCUGCCCUCAGCUCUGGGAUAAGCCUGGGAAACCGGGGUCUAAUACUGGAUAUGACUCCAUGACGCAUGUUGUGGGGUGGAAAGCCUUGUGCGGCUGAGGAUGGGCCCGCGGCCUAUCAGCUUGUUGGUGGGGGUAUGGCCUACCAAGG
RNAcentral lists this ribosomal RNA (246 nucleotides) under uncultured bacterium. RNAcentral's name for it is "partial 16S ribosomal RNA". It matches the Rfam family "Bacterial small subunit ribosomal RNA", at positions 28 to 273 of the family's 1533-position model. The record is from RNAcentral.